This is a long non-coding RNA of Leopardus geoffroyi (Geoffroy's cat), 1398 nucleotides long. RefSeq lists it as uncharacterized. The transcript is spliced from 3 exons. The record is from RefSeq and is a predicted model, not a curated record. NCBI's taxonomy places the organism in Eukaryota, Metazoa, Chordata, Mammalia, Carnivora, Felidae.
UAACAGUUGAUAAAUAUUUUUUAUUUUUAUCAAGAAAGGGCAAAACAAAUUAUGUUCCCUCAGUACAUUUGGUCUUUCCUCUCAACCUUACAAAUCAGAUUCUGAUUCUCACUGAAUUGAGUGCGAUCCAGACAAAGGUUUGUUACUAUUUGCUACUUUAUUAAAUGCUUCAUCAUGAGGUCUUCAUGUGUUUUCCGACCACUAAAUUUCACCAGAGCAAACCCACAAUUUACUUCAAAACCAUCACAAGAGUUUGCUGGCCUUGACCUCUUGAUCAUUUGUUUGAGAUUUUUAUACUAACCACACAUUUCUGGGUAAGUGAGCACACAUAUCCAUGCAUUUCUGCAAUAUUAUGGUAAAAGUCUUGGUCAAGUUGUUUUCAGAGGGGGUGGGGAAGCUGUAUUUUUAGUAUUCAAGUGACCCCUGGGUCCUGGGUAAAAUGCAGAUUGCAAAAAAGAAGACAUGACCAAUCCUGGAACUUUGGCCUUUGGCCCAGAAAUAUAUCUUGAUGGGUCUCUGGCCGAAUUUCCACAGCAAUUCUUAGCACAAUAAAACUGACAACCAUGAGCUUUUCUCAAAUGUUUACACUGUAGUUUCUUAACAACAUGUGAACACAAUUGAAGCAUUUAGAAAUAAUCUUUGGAUUCUCGAAAUUCGCAAACAUUGGUCUGACCUUGAAGAAAGGGGUAGGCAAGGAAUUUGGAAUUGCUAGCCUGGAAUAACUGAAUUAAGUGAGAAUAAGAUGUCACCUCCUCGAGGGCAACUCGAUCCUUUUCAUCACGACUAGCCUCUUCAUGUUUGUUGUAUUUCACAGGGACGUCCAAGCCAGCGUGGAAGAAUGAAGGACCGCACCACCAGGCAGAAACUAAAGGGAGCAACCAGGAGAAAUGUGUCUUGUGUUGGAAGCUACGCAAAACGCCAGGGAGGUGUGUACUUCUUUGGGGAGCCCCGAGUGGAUGCUUUCGAGGCCUGAUGUUUUCGUGGCUCGCUUUGAGACACCAUCGCAAAUGACCUUGUUCUCUUCGUUCAGACAUGUCUGCUUUUCUCAUCUAUCAGAAUGUCCUCUUUCAGAGGGCUGGGACUGUCCCUGGAUUUCUUCAGCCGUGCCGUAGAACCUUGUUGAACGAUAUGAAAAAGGAGAUAGUCGAUAGCAUUUGGGAAAUUGGGUUGUACGGUAAAUGACUUAAAAGAUGCAUAAAGUCUUGCUCUAGAGCAAGACAGUCCUAAACCCUUCUUUCACUUUUGACAUUUAAAUAAAAUACUUAAGAUCACUUUGCAUGUUUACAUGUAAGUUUUCCUUUAUUUAAUCACCAUAUGUAAACAAUUUGUUUCCUGGUAUCUGUAGUUUCUCUUUCCUCCUCUCAAUUGAACUAAUAAAUUGUAAUGAGGUUUUGUGUC